UACGGAGGGUGCAAACGUUGUUCGGAAUUACUGGGCGUAAAGCGCGUGUAGGCUGCUUGGAAAGUCGGAUGUGAAAGCCCUGGGCUCAACCCAGGAAGUGCACUCGAAACUUCCGAGCUCGAGUUCUGGAGAGGAUAGCGGAAUUCUCGGUGUAGAGGUGAAAUUCGUAGAUAUCGAGAGGAACACCGGUGGCGAAGGCGGCUAUCUGGACAGAAACUGACGCUGAGACGCGAAAGCGUGGGGAGCAAACAGG
RNAcentral lists this ribosomal RNA (253 nucleotides) under uncultured bacterium. Its description in RNAcentral is "partial 16S ribosomal RNA". It matches the Rfam family "Bacterial small subunit ribosomal RNA", at positions 524 to 776 of the family's 1533-position model. The record is from RNAcentral.